CGUUUUACUUUGCUAUUCCUUAUUUUCACUAACGCUCCAUUGAUAUUUCAUAAAUUUCAAUAAUUAUAUUAAUAAUUUCAGUCAACUUCUUUUAUCGAUAUGUCUUUAAGUUCACACUGUCAAUGACACAUUACUACUGUAACGCAUCACUCUCCUGGUUUAAUUAUUCAUGCUUUCUGUUGACGGUCCGUCACUCUUCUGGUUGGUCUUGAUUGAUGUUUUCUCUGAUUGGAAUGACAUUGACAGCUCAGGCGAGAGGUGGGGUCGUAACUUAUUUAGUCGGUACUGCAUCCAUUUUUCGAGGACUUGUUCCCGUGUCGCAGGUAGAAGCGCACGUAAAAGGCCAGUUUUUUAUUUCCGAAAUGUGUGAAGCAGGAAGUGGCCAAUAUGGUUUAUAAUUUAUAGUCCUUAAUCUUGUUCCUUUAGGGAACUGUUUAUUUCAUAAUUCUGGUGCAGGAUGCCCGAGAUUUUGAUGGAUAGAUAAUGAAACUUAGCAAGGGUUUUACUUUUCCGUUUUCCUCUUUAUUCGUCUUCAAUUGUUGAUGGCUGCAGGAUUUUGAUUUCCCCGAGAAAUUGCUAUAAGCUGUGGAGCUGGAGCCAGAGUUAGGGCUAGUAUUAGAGAUUCCCAGUCCAGAUAGCUAAGCUACAAAUGGCAUACAUUCACAGCCUCGAUUUUGAAGGCUAGCCGUUCAUUUCUUGGAGGAAUAUACAGCCAGUCAUAAGUGAACCUUCGAACAAUCCCAAGCCUCCAAUAAUUCUGAGCUACCGUCUGCAAACUCUUGGCAAAAUAGUAACACUGUAAAGUUAACGCCACAAAGGAUUAGAAUGUGUAUCAGG
This is a long non-coding RNA of Anthonomus grandis grandis, 837 nucleotides long. RefSeq lists it as uncharacterized. NCBI's taxonomy places the organism in Eukaryota, Metazoa, Arthropoda, Insecta, Coleoptera, Curculionidae. The transcript has 3 exons. The record is from RefSeq and is a predicted model, not a curated record.